GUGGGGAAUAUUGGGCAAUGGGCGCAAGCCUGACCCAGCAACGCCGCGUGAAGGAAGAAGGCUUUCGGGUUGUAAACUUCUUUUCUGAGGGACGAACAAAUGACGGUACCUCAGGAAUAAGCCGCGGCUAACUACGUGCCAGCAGCCGCGGUAAUACGUAGGUGGUAAGCGUUAUGCGGAUGUAUUGGGUGUAAAGGGCGUGUAGGCGGGAGCGCAAGUCAGAUGUGAAAACUCAGGGCUCAACCCUGAGCCUGCAUUUGAAGCUGUGCUUCUUGAGUGCUGGAGAGGCAAUCGGAAUUCCGUGUGUAGCCGUGAAAUGCGUAGAUAUACGGAGGAACACCAGUGGCGAAGGCGGAUUGCUGGACAGUAACUGACGCUGAGGCGCGAAAGCGUGGGGAGCAAACAGG
RNAcentral lists this ribosomal RNA (407 nucleotides) under uncultured bacterium. RNAcentral describes it as "bacterial SSU rRNA". It matches the Rfam family "Bacterial small subunit ribosomal RNA", at positions 354 to 776 of the family's 1533-position model. The record is from RNAcentral.